RNAcentral lists this ribosomal RNA (472 nucleotides) under uncultured bacterium. RNAcentral describes it as "partial 16S ribosomal RNA". It matches the Rfam family "Bacterial small subunit ribosomal RNA", at positions 29 to 507 of the family's 1533-position model. The record is from RNAcentral.
AUAAACGCUGGCGGCGCACAUAAGACCUGCAAGUUGAACGGACUUAAUCGAAAUAUUUAUAUUUUGAAGCGGUUAGUGGCGGACUGGUGAGUAACGCGUAAGGAACCUGCCUAUUAGAGGGGAAUAACAGCGAGAAAUCAUUGCUAAUACCGCAUAUGCCAUAGAUAUCACAUGAUAACAGUGGGAAAGGAGCAAUCCGCUAAUAGAUGGCCUUGCGUCUGAUUAGAUAGUUGGUGGGGUAACGGCCUACCAAGUCGACGAUCAGUAGCCGGACUGAGAGGUUGAACGGCCACAUUGGGACUGAGAUACGGCCCAGACUCCUACGGGAGGCAGCAGUCGGGAAUAUUGCGCAAUGGAGGAAACUCUGACGCAGUGACGCCGCGUAUAGGAAGAAGGUUUUCGGAUUGUAAACUAUUGUCGUUAGGGAAGAGAAAGGACAGUACCUAAGGAGGAAGCUCCGGCUAACUACGUG